UACAGAGGGUGCAAGCGUUAAUCGGAAUUACUGGGCGUAAAGGGCUUGUAGGCGGUCAUAUAAGUUGGAUGUGAAAACCCCGGGCUCAACCUGGGACGUGCAUUCAAUACUGUAUGGCUAGAGUAUGGUAGAGGAAAGGGGAAUUUCCGGUGUAGCAGUGAAAUGCGUAGAUAUCGGAAGGAACAUCAGUGGCGAAGGCGCCUUUCUGGACUAAUACUGACGCUGAGGAGCGAAGGCGUGGGGAGCAAACAGG
This 253-nucleotide ribosomal RNA is filed under the name uncultured bacterium. Its description in RNAcentral is "partial 16S ribosomal RNA". It matches the Rfam family "Bacterial small subunit ribosomal RNA", at positions 524 to 776 of the family's 1533-position model. The record is from RNAcentral.